AGCCACUACAGAGAAAACAAUGAGCUCAACACAGAAGGACCAACAUGGAGCGAGAAGUCAGCGCUCUCAGGAGGCCGACAAACCUCACAGAAGAAAGGCAGAGAAAACAUACACCUGUGACGAGUGUGGGAAGGGUUUUACUAGGAAGAAUUCACUAAAACAGCAUCAGGUCAUCCACACUGGAGAGAGACCGUUCAGCUGUGACUUGUGUGGAAAGUCUUUUUCCUGGAAGGGUUACCUAAAACAACACCAACUCAUCCACAGUGGAGUUAAAGCGUACAGCUGUGAUCAGUGUGGCAGAGCUUUUACUCAACGUGGCCAAUUACAGAGGCAUCUAGUUACCCAGUCUGGAAUUAAGGCAUACACCUGUGACGAGUGUGGGAAGGAGUUUACUGGGAAGGCUGAACUAAAACGUCAUCAGGUCAUCCACACUGGAGAGAGACCGUUCAGCUGUGACUUGUGUGGAAAGUCUUUUUCCUUGAAGGGUUACCUAAAAAAACACCAACUCAUCCACAGUGGAGUUAAAGCGUACAGCUGUGAUCAGUGUGGCAGAGCUUUUACUCAAAGUAGCAGCUUACAGAGUCAUCUAGUUACCCACUCUGGAAUUAAGGCAUACACCUGUGACAUCUGUGGAAAAACUUUCAGCCGGCAAGAUAGCCAAAAUAUACACCUACGCAUUCACACCAGACAUGAUGUGUACAGCUGUGAACAGUGUGGCAAAGAGUUUACAACAGAUGCACAGUUACAACAACACGUUUACCCACACUGAGGGACGACCUUAUAAAUGUGACCUGUGUGAGAAGACUUUUAAAUCUCCACAUCACCUGAGACGACACCAACAGAUCCACACCAGAAAGAGACUCUACAAGUGCAGUUACUGUGAGAAGCAGAACGACACAGAUGGAUCCAGUUCUCAACCCUGUCAUCACUGUGGUGGUGGGAAAGAGUUUCAUUGUGACCUCUGUGGAAAAGGUUUCAGUUGGCA
Oreochromis niloticus (Nile tilapia) is the source of this 985-nucleotide long non-coding RNA. RefSeq lists it as uncharacterized. The record is from RefSeq and is a predicted model, not a curated record. Lineage: Eukaryota; Metazoa; Chordata; Actinopteri; Cichliformes; Cichlidae. The transcript has 3 exons.